GACGAACGCUGGCGGCGUGCCUAACACAUGCAAGUCGAGCGAGGGACUUCGGUCCCUAGCGGCGGACGGGUGAGUAACACGUGGGUAACCUGCCUCAUAGAGGGGGAUACCCUCCCGAAAGGGAGAUUAAUACCGCAUAACAUUAUGCUGUCGCAUGGCAGUAUAAUCAAAGGAGUAAUCCGCUAUGAGAUGGACCCGCGGCGCAUUAGCUAGUUGGUGAGGUAACGGCUCACCAAGGCGACGAUGCGUAGCCGACCUGAGAGGGUGAUCGGCCACAUUGGAACUGAGACACGGUCCAGACUCCUACGGGAGGCAGCAGUGGGGAAUAUUGCACAAUGGGCGAAAGCCUGAUGCAGCAACGCCGCGUGAGUGAUGAAGGCCUUCGGGUUGUAAAGCUCUGUCUUUUGGGACGAUAAUGACGGUACCAAAGGAGGAAGCCACGGCUAACUACGUGCCAGCAGCCGCGGUAAUACGUAGGUGGCAAGCGUUGUCCGGAUUUACUGGGCGUAAAGGAUGCGUAGGUGGAUAUUUAAGUGGGAUGUGAAAUACCCGGGCUCAACUUGGGUGCUGCAUUCCAAACUGGAUAUCUAGAGUGCAGGAGAGGUAAGUGGAAUCCUAGUGUAGCGUGAAAUGCGUAGAGAUAAGAGAACACCAGUGGCGAAGCGACUACUGGACUGUAACUGACACUGAGGCAUGAAAGCGUGGGGAGCAAACAGGAUUAGAUACCCUGGUAGUCCACGCCGUAAACGAUGGGUACUAGGUGUAGGAGGGUCCAACCCUCUGUGCCGCCGUUAACACAAUAAGUACCCCGCCUGGGGA
RNAcentral lists this ribosomal RNA (819 nucleotides) under uncultured bacterium. RNAcentral describes it as "bacterial SSU rRNA". It matches the Rfam family "Bacterial small subunit ribosomal RNA", at positions 28 to 879 of the family's 1533-position model. The record is from RNAcentral.